Molecule: ribosomal RNA, 253 nt
Filed under: uncultured bacterium
Lineage: Bacteria
Description: partial 16S ribosomal RNA
Rfam family: Bacterial small subunit ribosomal RNA
Source: RNAcentral
UACAGAGGUCCCAAGCGUUGUUCGGAUUCACUGGGCGUAAAGGGUGCGUAGGCGGUCGGAUAAGUCUGAUGUGAAAUCUUCGAGCUCAACUCGGAAACUGCAUCGGAAACUAUCUGGCUUGAGGAUUGGAGGGGAGACUGGAAUACUUGGUGUAGCAGUGAAAUGCGUAGAUAUCAAGUGGAACACCAGUGGCGAAGGCGAGUCUCUGGACAUUUCCUGACGCUGAGGCACGAAAGCCAGGGGAGCAAACGGG